This 1631-nucleotide long non-coding RNA is filed under the name Phascolarctos cinereus (koala). RNAcentral's name for it is "lncRNA (ENSPCIG00000023831.2)". The record is from RNAcentral. Lineage: Eukaryota; Metazoa; Chordata; Mammalia; Diprotodontia; Phascolarctidae.
AGAUGCCGAGAUGACUGCUGGCAUUUGUCAACAAUCCUGUCAUAGUGACAGCAAUAAGACCAUGUCUGGAAAUGUGACAGUUUUGGCUUUGUGCUCCCCUGAGCAAUAGCCCAGGUGUUCAGAGAAAGUGUGGGAAAACCCAUAUUUCUGCAUUGUCAUUCGAACACAGAAAACACAGGAGGAAAAUGAGCUGUCACUCCAAUUCCCAUGAUGCCUUGCUGCUUAGCAUAACUCCACAGUGCGGCCCCAGGUCCACUGGUCCAUACUCUGACAGAUAAUUAAGAAAGCAGCAGCUUUUUCUAGACGGCUCUUCCUCAUGAUUUGCAUUUUAGCCAGAGGCGACCAGUUAUAAAAAAAACAUGAUGGAAAGAUGGUAAGAAGCCAAUUAGAUGGAUGGAUGGCUGACUGACAGCUCUCUGGUAAUACUACUCCAGAUUUCAGACUACAUAGCCUGGCAGUUUUCUACAAGAACCAACUUUUUUGCAGGCAUAAGAGAUGGAAGAAGAACUUGCCUGAAGUGCUUUUCAAAUAUUUGCCAUGGGGAUAAAUACCUUCCUCACAGAGUUGUUGUGAAGAAAGAACUUGGAUAACCAUAAAGAGCCAGAGAGAUAGUAUAAACUUUUGGAUAGUCUGAUGGAUUUUGGUAUGAGGAAAUAUGGGCUUAAAUUUCACUAAGGUAUUCAUUAGUUAUGUGACCUCAGAUAGUUCUUUUAACCUCUCUUGGCCCCCAAUUCCUCCUCUAUAAAAUGAGAGGGUAGGUCCUAUUUAACUGUGAUCCUUUUAUGUAAUGUGAGUUAUUACUAUAUUAAAGAAAAUAUCAUUGCAGAUACAUCCUGACCCCUUGUUAAAUGACAGUAUUUUUUUCCUGCGAAUACUUGUUCUAUCCAAUCAUCCCCUUUAUCGUCUACCUCAUUACAUCACCUUUCCCACUUCAGUGAGCCACUCACUGAAAUUUUAGCCAUGUUUAUUACUACUUGGUAAUUUCUACCUCCUUCCCUUUACUUAUACCAUUUCCUAAGCACUGCCUGCUUGCUCCAUGUCCUCCAUCUCUACUCAAACUUCUAUCUCCCCUGCAUAGGUUAUGCUAGAUUUUAGCCAUGAGUAAGAUCUGAUGGUGAGAUUUUGUCUUAUCAUUCCAUGCUUUACCCCAUGUACCCACAUCCUUCCUCAGUCAGAAAUUAUCCUCUCUUUCUUAAACAUUGUAUUGCAUUAUGUAUAGUUCCUAUUUAUUUAUUCUACUUUGUAUUAUUGGAAUUGGGAUCAUUUGUGUAUAUAUACACAUAUAUAAUAUCACUAGAUUAUAAGUUCAAUGAGGUAAGCUAACAUAUACCAUUUUUGAAAACCAUAAGGUGCCCCUAGUGUGUUCAAGUCUCACCUCUGACCCCUACUGGCUAGAUUACACUGGACAAGUCAUUUAGCCUUUCAGUGCCCCCAGGCAACUCUUGAAGGAUAUAACUUGGGGAACCAGUUGCUGAUCUACAUGGGUAGAAGAAAUUUCUUCACCAAGGAACUCCCUAUGCCUAUGCAAUUGUAGGUCCAGACCCUCCAAAAUCUCCACCAGCUACAGCCCAGUGCUCAAAACAUACUAGCUAAUCAAUAAAAGUUUACUGAAUUGAAUUGAAUUAUGUAAA